GUGCUUUGGGGUGGGGUGACUGCGUACCUUUUGUAUAAUGGGUCAGCGACUUAUAUUCUGUAGCAAGGUUAACCGUAUAGGGGAGCCGAAGGGAAACCGAGUCUUAACUGGGCGUUAAGUUGCAGGGUAUAGACCCGAAACCCGGUGAUCUAGCCAUGGGCAGGUUGAAGGUUGGGUAACACUAACUGGAGGACCGAACCGACUAAUGUUGAAAAAUUAGCGGAUGACUUGUGGCUGGGGGUGAAAGGCCAAUCAAACCGGGAGAUAGCUGGUUCUCCCCGAAAGCUAUUUAGGUAGCGCCUCGUGAACUCAUCUUCGGGGGUAGAGCACUGUUUCGGCUAGGGGGUCAUCCCGACUUACCAACCCGAUGCAAACUGCGAAUACCGAAGAAUGUUAUCACGGGAGACACACGGCGGGUGCUAACGUCCGUCGUGAAGAGGGAAACAACCCAGACCGCCAGCUAAGGUCCCAAAGUCACAGUUAAGUGGGAAACGAUGUGGGAAGGCUCAGACAGCCAGGAUGUUGGCUUAGAAGCAGCCAUCAUUUAAAGAAAGCGUAAUAGCUCACUGGUCGAGUCGGCCUGCGCGGAAGAUGUAACGGGGCUAAACUGUGCACCGAAGCUGCGGCAGCGACGCUUAUGCGUUGUUGGGUAGGGGAGCGUUCUGUAAGCCUGCGAAGGUGUCCUGUGAGGGAUGCUGGAGGUAUCAGAAGUGCGAAUGCUGACAUAAGUAACGAUAA
RNAcentral lists this ribosomal RNA (738 nucleotides) under Salmonella enterica subsp. enterica serovar Kentucky. RNAcentral describes it as "partial 23S ribosomal RNA". It matches the Rfam family "Bacterial large subunit ribosomal RNA", at positions 577 to 1315 of the family's 2925-position model. Lineage: Bacteria; Pseudomonadati; Pseudomonadota; Gammaproteobacteria; Enterobacterales; Enterobacteriaceae. The record is from RNAcentral.